RNAcentral lists this ribosomal RNA (778 nucleotides) under uncultured Neocallimastigales. RNAcentral's name for it is "partial large subunit ribosomal RNA". It matches the Rfam family "Eukaryotic large subunit ribosomal RNA", at positions 24 to 624 of the family's 3401-position model. Lineage: Eukaryota; Fungi; Neocallimastigomycota; Neocallimastigomycetes; Neocallimastigales. The record is from RNAcentral.
CACGCAUGACACACUGCAUAUCAAUAAGCGGAGGAAAAGAAACUAACAAGGAUUCCCUUAGUAACGGCGAGUGAAGCGGGAAGAGCUCAAAUUUGAAAUCUUCAAGGUUCUACCUUGACGAAUUGUAGUUUAUAGAAGUGUUUUCUGUUAGUAGAGUGGCAAAAGUUCUUUGGAAUAGGACAUCAUAGAGGGUGAGAAUCCCGUAUUUGGUCAUUCUUUCUAGCUUUGUGAUACACUUUCAACGAGUCGGAUUGUUUGGGAAUGCAGUCCAAAAUGGGUGGUAAAUUUCAUCUAAAGCUAAAUAUUGGCGAGAGACCGAUAGCGAACAAGUACCGUGAGGGAAAGAUGAAAAGAACUUUGAAAAGAGAGUUAAACAGUACGUGAAAUUGUCAAAAGGGAAGCGUUUGACACCAGUGUUGUUUUCUCGAAAAUCAAUUAAAAAUGAUGGGAUUUUGUGUUGUAUUGACUUUAUCAGCUUUCUGCACUUUUUUCUUAUCUUUUUUAAUGCACUUUUCGUUUAACAAGUCAACAUCAAUUUCUUUUGCUGUAAAAGAGUCAUUGGAAGGUGGCUUUUCUUUCGGAGAAAGUGUUUAUAGCCUUUGGACUUCUGCAAUCGGAGAGAUUGAGGUCUGCAGCGUAGAUCCUUCGGGGUUAGAUACAGUUUGUGCUAAGCUAUAGCCUUUUCAUAGACAACUUGUUGACUAUGAUCAGUCAUGUAAUCUUACUCGCUAGAUGCUAUUUUACCUACGCUUAGGAUGUUGAUCUACAGAGCGAGAGU